CUGUUAUGUAAUAUAGAGGCCGUUUCAAAUAAAAGUUGCACAAAUUAAAAAAAAUGAUGCCUUCCAAAAUACAACGUAUGGCAUAUUAUAUAGAGUGAAAUGCUACAAACAUUUUAAUGCGCAUAGAAAAAGAAUUUAAGUAAUUUUUUUUUUAUCUUUUAAUGAAAUAGUAAAAGAUCGUAAAAUGAGUAUACAAUGAUAAUAAUAAUAAAAAAACAACACACAAAUAACCUACGUUUUUAUAAUAUGAACACGAAUGAUAGUUCCAGUAAAAUAAAAAGCUUGGUAUGGACACGAUUGGGGGUUUAUUAAAAAAUGUACACGUUUGAGCGUUUAUACAAGUGACACGCUUUGGCGCCCUUUGACAACUAGACAUGUUUUUGCAGUUCAGUGACGUCGAUGUGGACACGUUUGGGGGAAUCGGAC
Molecule: long non-coding RNA, 426 nt
Filed under: Mytilus galloprovincialis (Mediterranean mussel)
Lineage: Eukaryota; Metazoa; Mollusca; Bivalvia; Mytilida; Mytilidae
Source: RNAcentral